ACUCAAAUGAAUAGACGGGGGUCCGCACAAGCGGUGGAACAUGUGGUUUAAUUCGACACUACGCGAGGAACCUUACCUGGGUUUGACAUGUAACUGCUACUGGUGGAAACACUGGGUUUUGUAGCAAUACAAACGGUUACACAGGUGCUGCAUGGCUGUCGUCAGCUCGUGUCGUGAGACGUCGGGUUAAGUCCUUGAACGAGCGCAACCCUUGCCGUUAGUUGCUCAUCUGCAAAGAUAGCACUCUAGCGGGACUGCCUAGGAAACUAGGAGGAAGGUGGGGAUGACGUCAAGUCCUCAUGGCCCUUAUGCCCAGGGCUACACACGUGUUACAAUGGCGAGCAACAGAGGGAUGCAAGACCGCGAGGUGGAGCUAAUCCUAAAAACUCGUCUAAGUUCAGAUUGAAGUCUGCAACCCGACUUCAUGAAGUUGAAAUCGCUAGUAAUCGCAUAUCAGAAUGAUGCGGUGAAUACGUUCUCGGACCUUGCACACACCGCCCGU
Molecule: ribosomal RNA, 502 nt
Filed under: uncultured bacterium
Lineage: Bacteria
Description: partial 16S ribosomal RNA
Rfam family: Bacterial small subunit ribosomal RNA
Source: RNAcentral